CCGGCGAGCGGCAGACGGGUGAGUAGUGUCUGGGAAACUGCCUGAUGGAGGGGGAUAACUACUGGAAACGGUAUCUAAUACCGCAUAACGUCACAAGACCAAAGAGGGGGACCUUCGGGCCUCUUGCCAUCAUAUGUGCCCAGAUGGGAUUAUCUAGUAUGUGGGGUAGUGGCUCACCUACGCCACUAUCCCUAUCUGGUCUGAGAAGAUGACCACCCACUCUGGAACUGACACACGGUCCACACUCCUACGGGAGGCAGCAGUGGGGAAUAUUGCACAGUGGGCGCAAGCCUGAUGCACCCGUGCCGCGUGUAUGAA
RNAcentral lists this ribosomal RNA (318 nucleotides) under Enterobacter ludwigii. RNAcentral describes it as "bacterial SSU rRNA". It matches the Rfam family "Bacterial small subunit ribosomal RNA", at positions 88 to 409 of the family's 1533-position model. The record is from RNAcentral. Lineage: Bacteria; Pseudomonadati; Pseudomonadota; Gammaproteobacteria; Enterobacterales; Enterobacteriaceae.